This 1025-nucleotide long non-coding RNA is filed under the name Lactuca sativa (garden lettuce). RNAcentral describes it as "long non-coding RNA (LSAT_LNC004764)". Lineage: Eukaryota; Viridiplantae; Streptophyta; Magnoliopsida; Asterales; Asteraceae. The record is from RNAcentral.
ACUUCAGUUGGCUUUUCUUCAGACUUGUGUAUAUCAUCAUAGCCUCUGCUGAUGCUCUCCUCAGAUCUAACUUCUAUACCUUGCUCUGUAGGACUUGAUAUCGAAUCAGAAGUGGUUUUCGUGAGGUCAUCUGCUUGUGAUUCGCUUAGUGUUUCUUUCUCCUUGUUUGCAUCUUCUUCCAAUGUCUUUUCUUCUGUCACCAAAAUCUUUGGAAACUCUUCCUCUAUGAAUUCUAGAUUCCGAUCCUUGUUGCUUAUGUUGCUGUGGUCAACCUGUGUCUUAUCUGUUUCUAGUACUAGUUCUUUUGUUUGGUCUUCAACAGUUGAAGAUGCAAGUUCUUCAAGUGGUACAAUGGACACAAGUUUCUGUUACAUGAAAAAAACCACAAAAAUCUACAUGAUCAGUAGGUGAAGGUUAAAUUUCCAUUUGCAUGUAAUAAUCUAAAUGCCAUUUAUAAUGAUAAAACUACAUGAAAUCAGGCUAUGUUAACAAUGUCUUAUUAGCAUAGGAUCAGUAUAGGGAGGCUUUAACCAUGGGAUAAUCACAGUAAUAUUUUGUCAAGGGCUCAUGGCCUAGUUUCUUUCAAGCUGGUUGUCAUCCAGUGGUCUCAAAUCGAAUUAAUAGAAGACAAAGUUAGGGUUAUUUUUUUAUCAUCAGGGCUUAAUCUUUUUACCUUCUCACUUAAUGACCCAUCCACAGGUGUUUGACACGUGUCAUUUGUUACUUCUGGAUGUUCUUCCUCCAUCUCCAUCUUGAGAGUUGUUUCAGGAGUUUGUAUUUCAGAUAUAAGUUCAUCAUCCUUUUCUUUCUUCUCAAACUCAAGAUCAGGGGCUUCUGCAGACUGUAUAUUUUCUAGUUCUGUUGGGCUUUCUGCUUUCACUUCUUUGACUUCAUUGUUUCCAGCUGGUAUCGGCUUUGAAUAUUCUAUCUGUUAAAAGAUAUUUAUCAUUUUAAUAUCUGAAUAAAUGAAAUCAAUCUGAUAUUUUAGUAUCCUUCUUGCUGUCUUUACUGACCUCAUCAUCUAG